Molecule: ribosomal RNA, 253 nt
Filed under: uncultured bacterium
Lineage: Bacteria
Description: partial 16S ribosomal RNA
Rfam family: Bacterial small subunit ribosomal RNA
Source: RNAcentral
UACGGGGGGGGCAAGCGUUGUUCGGAAUUACUGGGCGUAAAGGGCUCGUAGGUGGCCAACUAAGUCAGACGUGAAAUCCCUCGGCUUAACCGGGGAACUGCGUCUGAUACUGGAUGGCUUGAGUUUGGGAGAGGGACGCGGAAUUCCAGGUGUAGCGGUGAAAUGCGUAGAUAUCUGGAGGAACACCGGUGGCGAAGGCGGCUUUCUGGACAGAAACUGACGCUGAUGCGCGAAAGCUAGGGGAGCAAACAGG